Leopardus geoffroyi (Geoffroy's cat) is the source of this 1453-nucleotide long non-coding RNA. RefSeq lists it as uncharacterized. The transcript is spliced from 4 exons. Lineage: Eukaryota; Metazoa; Chordata; Mammalia; Carnivora; Felidae. The record is from RefSeq and is a predicted model, not a curated record.
GGCAUUGUUUUAUCACAACCGUCAAGCAGAGCAUACACCUAUUUUGAAAAGCUUUUUACAGCUUUGAAUUAAGCACAAAUGAAGAAGUAAGAGGCUGCAUAAUCAGUGGCGCUAACAGAGCACUGCUCUGCAAGGCAAAGGCAGGGUUUUACCAUUAUGCUUUCAUUCAUGAACGGCACCAGCAAGGCACAGACUGUGAGCAAGGAGAGAAAGCCACCGCAAGAUACAGUUCAGGGAAACAACCAAGGAGAUCACCAGAGACCUGGAAGGAGAAUAAGAAGGAUCUUGCAAAGAACAGCUGAGACCUUUAGAAUUUCAUUCUCCUGGAGCAAGAAAAACAACGCGACAGGGGCGGGGAAGGCUGAUUUGUUUCAACUGAGUAAGCAUGACCAACCAAUCACUCUGGCAAUGUUGAUGUAAACUUUGGUCUUCUAAAAAUCGCAGAAAGGGUGCUGCGUCUCUUUUCUGUCCGUCUCAGGUGAUGUCAAUGGGCUCGGCUCCUCUGUAGCCACUGUCCACGUUAAUCAUGCCGUGGAUGUGUUUCCGGCAAAGCCAGCAGAGGGAGUUCGAGAUUAAUGGGUGGGUUCCAGGAUCUACCAAGAGAACCAUCCUCCGUGUUCAGGACCUCCCAAUCCGAUUCCAUGAGGGAAGAGGCAUGCCCCAAAGUGGGUCAAACAUUAAAAACCAUGCUGAAUGAAAGAAUUUUGAAUGCUUCAGAUCUAAUGCUGGAGGGAAGUCUGCUGAAAUAGACUUCUAAAUGUCUAAAGCUGCAAUCUCAGCACAGACAGUCCAUUUAAUGUCCGGAUUCCUUCUUUCCUUCCAUUUCUGAGGGACAGAGGCCAACACGAGAGCGUAACUAUUUUAUGUCAUUUCUUGCUCCAAACACACAUCCACCCUAUGCACCGAGGUUGCUCCUUGUUUCCGGCCUUUAUCCAGUGCCAGUUUUCCUCAGAUGGUGAGGACCUCCCGCGGGUGCAAACCACGGCAAGAACACAGCCGACGACACGAGCAUUUGUGCCUGGAGAAGUCUGGAAAGCAUUCCCGGAGACGUGUGUAGAACAGCAGCUUCCAGCACAAAGAUCCGUCACUCAUGAGGUCAAGGCUCAAGUCUUAGAUGAAAUGAGAGCCAUGAGCUAGAGGAAAGCUCACGCUCUGAUGGGAUUCUGUUUUCUCUGUACACUAGUAAAGUUGUCGCUUCUUAUUUACUCUGCAAUUUACCAAACUCCUCGCCUCUUCCCCUCAACUUAUGCAAUAGCCUGGGGGGCUGAGAAGGCUGAAGGCUGCUCCCCAGGAAUACCCAACCCUCUCUUCCUGUGCAACACAGUGUAACUUCUCCCACCUGCUCUUAGACCCUUGGCUACAAGAUUCAGUUCACAUCUCUCCUCACUGAAUAUACAGUUAACCCUAGAACAACCCGGGUUUGCAUUACACGGGUCCACCUACACAUGGGUUA